Long non-coding RNA from Brassica napus (rape), 3389 nucleotides. RefSeq lists it as uncharacterized. The record is from RefSeq and is a predicted model, not a curated record. The transcript is spliced from 4 exons. NCBI's taxonomy places the organism in Eukaryota, Viridiplantae, Streptophyta, Magnoliopsida, Brassicales, Brassicaceae.
AGCACAAAACUCAAUAUAAUCGAAAGUGAGGAUAACAUAUGCUUUGGAAAACUCGUGGUGGUACAAAACUAACCGAAAUUUUCUCUAAAUUCUAUGGGACUUGGACCAAGUUAAUGGGGUUUUUUUUUGAUAAAAAGUUAAUGGGAAUUAGAAUACAUUUGUUUCAUAUUUAUUAUUUUUCCAUCUAGUUUCGCAUGUCGAAUCAAUUGCUUCUACUGAUCCCCUUCACGGUAGCAUUGAGUGUCCACAACCUCUGAAAUUAAUUUCUUCAACUCGUAAAAUACAGCCGAAUCACAUACAUUCCAGGUCUAUGGGCCGGGGCAUCGUAGCUACACUCCGUUUUCUUAAUUUUUUUUUUACAUAUUAGAUUAGUCAACUUCUCUCUCCUUCCUCCUCCCUUAAAAAAGGCAAUUUAUGGUGCUCUAAGUUACGCUUCUCCGGCAACCGGCCUCGGCCAGAUUCCGCUGUGAGAGGGCUCUCUUCUUCGUCUCUUCUCUUCCGCUUUUCGAUACCUGAGACGGUGGCUUGAGGGUGGAGCUUUUCAAGGCGGUAGCAGUGGUGUUUGCACGGUGGUGGUAAGGAGUUUUGGCCGGAUCUAUAGCUACAUGCAUCAGAUCUGAGGGAUCGGUGAUGGCGCAUACCCCAAGCUCUCUCCGGCUCUUUUCUUCUUGCUCAUGGUGGUCGAGUGUUCUUCGGUGGAAGUGACACGACAGUUUCGGGUUUAAUCUUGGUGAUAACAUGACGUGGAGGGGUUGGUCUCCUUAUAUCUGGACCUUCGGCGGUCUGACUCUCGGUUUUCGGUCUCCUUUGAGGAUGGCAGAUGGAGCUGAGUCGGAGAACCUCUAGAGGCGGUGGAGGUGAGUGGGUCGCGGGGGUGCGGUCUAGAUAUAUCCAAACAUCCGCAAUUUUGUUUUAUUAAGGGUCCAACUGGUGUGAAUAUUAGGAAUGAGUAGGGAAAAAAAUACAUAGGAAUAAUAUUAGAGGAAUGAAAAGAAAAAUGAUUCUUUAUCAAUUUUAGUAGGAACAAAUUUGUUCUAUAUUCCUCUAAAAUAGAAAGAAUGAGAAGGAAUGCAAAUAAAAAAUAAUUCCUUGUAAAUGGAAAAAAAAAUUAGGAAAAAUAAAAAAUGUAUUAUUCUCUUUCAUUCCUUUCAUUCCUUGAUCACCAAUUACACCCUAAGUCUACAAAUAUGAAUUUCUACAAACAGUGUUAUUUGCAUGAAGGAAUGCUUAUUUUGGACCUAACUGAGUCAUUCAAUACAGAGAAUGCUUAACUGACCCUUCUGUAAUUUAAAAAAAAAACAAACAAACUCAUCUGAUUUAGUUAAUGUAAGUAAUCGCAUUAUUAGAAAUUAAUAAUAAUUGUUAAGAGAAGAAAUAUUAAUCUUCAAUGAAGAUGAAUUCAUACAGUAUCUAUAAUAAUAAAGCUGAGUUUUCUCUCACCUCAGCCCUCCACAUCAGUACAUAGCAUGAGGCUUUUGUUGACACCUGUCCAAAAAGCUUAGCCAAUCAAAACCUUUGGCAACAAACAGGUCAUUCAGUAUUGAGAUGCGUUUUCUCCUACGCUUCGUUUUCUCUAAUCAAAACUGUAGUCUAUCAUCUCGCUUCAUAUCCUUCUCGAUGGCUCAGCCUUUCCUGUCACCUCUUUCCAAACUCCCCUUUCGCUUUGAUUUUCUUCAGGCCCUAACCAGCAAUCGAGCAAUAUAUCAGGUUUCCUUUCUAAAUCUAAUACCCACCGCUCUACACUUCAUUCCGUCGAAACACUUUCCAGGGUUUCUGUUUUGUUGUGUGAUCAUGAGACUCAAGAGAUUGAAGGAGCGACCUUAUAUGAUUCUAUGUCUACGAUGAGGAUGAGUUUGAUGACCCCAAAACAAAUAUGAAACAAACGAUGAUAUUUAUUGAUUACCGCCCAAGCUUCACUCUUUGUUUUGUUUUGUUUUGUGUUUUUUUCCUUUGUUACACUCAUGCUGAUUACUUCCUAAUUAAUUGAGUUCUCUGUGGUUUAUUAUUUUUUAUGUGUGGAAAGGAUCUCACUUUGAGUAAUAGCUCCAGCAAAAGGUACAACUUCUCUUUUGAAUUUGAUACUUGAUCUGCUUUCAUUACUGGGACUCCAAAUCAACUUAUAUUAGGCUAACAAUCUCUCUUGCCUGUUCAAUUGCUAUUAAUCUCGAUUCUGGAGAGUUUCUCGUCGUCAAACAGGUUAAUUUGAAAACUGUCUGAUUUUGAAUACUGUAAUUUUACUCUGCAAUUUGUUUUAAAAUUCCCCUCUCUCCCUGAAGUUUGAUUCUUAUGAUGAGUUUUUCGGUGAUCUGUGGGCUCUCCAAGCUCAUUCGUUCUACAUCUCAUCACCUUAAUUUGUUUAAUUACUCACGUAUUCUAUAAUUUUUUUGGGUGUUUACUCUAGCGUUAUUAUUGUUGUUUUUAUUGACUGGAUUUUAGUUGCUAAUAAACAUACAUGUUUCUUUGUUGAUAUUGUCCUCCGACUUCUCUUUCAUCAUAUUAUCUUAGUUAUUUUUUCUCUACAAUGAUUUGAUUUAUUCAUGACUUUCCUACUUUUGUUCAUCAUAUUCAGAAGCUGGAAAAGAAAGUUAAGCUUCUCAAGAAUCACUCACAUCCAAAUAUAGUUGUAUUUACGCACAUUGAGAGAAUGAAACUUUGAACAUCUUCUUCCAUAUCAUACUAUAUUCCAGAGCGUCGAAAACCAUGGCGAAUCCUCAAGUUCUUUUGUAUGAGUUGAACGUUGAUUGGCGCAAGGAAAUUGCAGAGGCCAAACGUCGGUGUCAGUGUUUUGGAUAGAUUUGCCAACCUCCUUUAUAUAUGGUUCCUUUACUUGUAUGAUUAACGAUUGUUAGUUAACUUUUUAGACACAGCAACAUCCUUUAUAACGUAUGUGUUUUUAACAACUUAGCCACUACCGACCACCACUUCCAGACUUUGGAGGUCAUGGAAGGGAUAACCAGCCUGGUGAUGACAUGCUUGGAGCUGGAGCGGUUAAAACCAAUCCUACUGAUAGGUUUAACAGUGCAUCGCCUGAGAAAAUACCUGAUGGUGAUAACGCUGGAAUGCUUUAAGAAAGUGCUGUCGGCCCUGCUCUUCCAACUGUUCUGUCUCGAUAAAUCAACAGAUAAGAAAUUAAGAAUGAACCACUAAUGGAGGAGAAGGUUGAAGGGAAGAAGCCACACGUGACUUAACUUCACAGGCUUAGGAGAGCCAAAGGUCAGAAUGGACAACCUCUACUCCUUCGCAUUUCUGUUUUUAAAUGUUUCCACUUUGACUUUGUCUACUGUUUCCUGAAAUUAAACCAGCUGCUGGUUGUGUUUUAACUUUUAGUUGUAGUUGUUACAAGGGAAAGGUAUUCGUUAUAUGUUCAUAAAUAAAAGUUCCUUUAAAUC